AUGGUUGAUCAACGAUUAAUAAUCAUUCUAGGGUUAAACGAUCAAUACGAUUGACAUUUAACCUAGUGCAAGUGUUGCAGGAGGAUCGAUUAGCAAUUCAAUUGCUAAUUAGCUUAAUUUCAUUAAGCCAAAGGGCUAAGAUUAAGUCUAAUUAAAUAUGAUUUAAGUAGAUUUGGUUUGGACUUGAUUGGAUCAAGUCCAAUUGGUUUAUUGGAUAAGCCAAGUGCAAGAAAAAACUAGUCCUAGUUCAAUUAGGAC
RNAcentral lists this long non-coding RNA (258 nucleotides) under Elaeis guineensis (African oil palm). Its description in RNAcentral is "long non-coding RNA (EGUI_LNC056235)". Lineage: Eukaryota; Viridiplantae; Streptophyta; Magnoliopsida; Arecales; Arecaceae. The record is from RNAcentral.